CAGUCGAACGGACUCAUAUUGAAACCUAGUGAUUUAUGAGUUAGUGGCGGACGGGUGAGUAACGCGUGGAUAACCUGCCGUAUACCGGGGGAUAACACUUGGAAAUAGGUGCUAAUACCGCAUAAGCGCACGGCUCCGCAUGGGGCAGUGUGAAAAACUCCGGUGGUAUACGAUGGAUCCGCGUCUGAUUAGCUAGUUGGCGGGGUAACGGCCCACCAAGGCAGCGAUCAGUAGCCGGCCUGAGAGGGUGGACGGCCACAUUGGGACUGAGACACGGCCCAAACUCCUACGGGGGGCAGCAGUGGGGAAUAUUGCACAAUGGGGGAAACCCUGAUGCAGCGACGCCGCGUGAGUGAAGAAGUAUCUCGGUACGUAAAGCUCUAUCAGCAGGGAAGAAAAUGACGGUACCUGACUAAGAAGCCCCGGCUAACUACGUGCCAGCAGCCGCGGUAAUACGUAGGGGGCAAGCGUUAUCCGGAUUUACUGGGUGUAAAGGGAGCGUAGACGGCAGCACAAGUCUGGAGUGAAAUCCCGGGGCUUAACCCCGGAACUGCUUUGGAAACUGUGCGGCUGGAGUGCAGGAGGGGUAAGCGGAAUUCCUAGUGUAGCGGUGAAAUGCGUAGAUAUUAGGAGGAACACCGGUGGCGAAGGCGGCUUACUGGACUGUAACUGACGUUGAGGCUCGAAAGCGUGGGGAGCAAACAGGAUUAGAUACCCUGGUAGUCCACGCCGUAAACGAUGAUUACUA
RNAcentral lists this ribosomal RNA (748 nucleotides) under uncultured bacterium. RNAcentral's name for it is "bacterial SSU rRNA". It matches the Rfam family "Bacterial small subunit ribosomal RNA", at positions 59 to 818 of the family's 1533-position model. The record is from RNAcentral.